CUGCGCUGCCCUUUUUCGAUCUGCACUACGAGCCCUGCCAGCAGGCGCUAAUUUCUUUCGUCUUCCUCCCUCGUUGGUUCCACUACGCGACCUCUGAACAUGUACAGGUUUUCAAGAUUCAGCGUGGAGGAAACUGCAUCAUCCUGCAGAAGGUAGCCUCAUCAAAUUCAUUAGGAUUAUUGAUGAUGAUCAGAUGAGGAGGAAGACGCUGAGGUUGAGGAUGGAUAAGUCCAGAUCGAAGCUGAACCUGUGGGUAACCUUCCACUCCUUGAUGACAAUUUUGAGGUUAUCAGAUUGCUGUGACCAUCUCGUCGAUGUUCCACAUGUACUUGUUCUACUUGCAACAUGUUACAUGUAAAGGAUAAUGGGCGACAUGUUCUACACCAAGAACCUUCAGUCACUCAGAGGUUGGAAGAGGCUGCUCCCUCAACCUCAGGCAUCGGCACCACCACAAAGAGGAA
Long non-coding RNA from Oreochromis niloticus (Nile tilapia), 461 nucleotides. RefSeq lists it as uncharacterized. NCBI's taxonomy places the organism in Eukaryota, Metazoa, Chordata, Actinopteri, Cichliformes, Cichlidae. The record is from RefSeq and is a predicted model, not a curated record. The transcript is spliced from 3 exons.